CAGCUUGUUGGUGAGGUAACGGCUCACCAAGGCUUCGACGGGUAGCCGGCCUGAGAGGGCGACCGGCCACACUGGGACUGAGAUACGGCCCAGACUCCUACGGGAGGCAGCAGUGGGGAAUAUUGCACAAUGGGCGCAAGCCUGAUGCAGCAACGCCGCGUGCGGGAUGACGGCCUUCGGGUUGUAAACCGCUUUCAGUUCCGACGAAGCGCAAGUGACGGUAGGAACAGAAGAAGGACCGGCCAACUACGUGCCAGCAGCCGCGGUGAUACGUAGGGUCCGAGCGUUGUCCGGAAUUAUUGGGCGUAAAGGGCUUGUAGGCGGUUUGUCACGUCGAAAGUGAAAACUCAGGGCUUAACCCUGAGCCUGCUUCCGAUACGGGCAAACUAGAGGGAUGCAGGGGAGAAUGGAAUUCCUGGUGGAGCGGUGGAAUGCGCAGAUAUCAGGAGGAACACCGGUGGCGAAGGCGGUUCUCUGGGCAUUUCCUGACGCUGAGAAGCGAAAGCGUGGGGAGCAAACAGGCUUAGAUACCCUGGUAGUCCACGCCGUAAACGGUGGGCACUAGGUGUGGGGAACAUUCCACGUUCUCCGUGCCGAAGCUAACG
Molecule: ribosomal RNA, 605 nt
Filed under: uncultured Actinomycetes bacterium
Lineage: Bacteria; Bacillati; Actinomycetota; Actinomycetes
Description: SSU rRNA
Rfam family: Bacterial small subunit ribosomal RNA
Source: RNAcentral